AACGAACGCUGGCGGCGCGCCUAACACAUGCAAGUCGAGCGCGAAAGAGGGCUUCGGCUCUUGAGUAGAGCGGCAGACGGGUGAGUAACACGUGGGCAACCUGCCCCUGGGUGUGGGAUAACCGCUCGAAAGGGUGGCUAAUACCGCAUAAGACCACGGGUCUGCGGACCUGGGGUCAAAGGUUUCGAUCGCCUGGGGAGGGGCCCGCGGCCGAUUAGCUAGUUGGUGAGGUAAUGGCUCACCAAGGCGACGAUCGGUAGCUGGUCUGAGAGGAUGAUCAGCCACACUGGUACUGAGACACGGACCAGACUCCUACGGGAGGCAGCAGUGGGGAAUAUUGCGCAAUGGGCGAAAGCCUGACGCAGCAACGCCGCGUGGGUGAUGAAGGCCUUCGGGUCGCAAAGCCCUGUCAGGUGGGAAGAACCCGGCUUUCGAGCCGCUGACGGUACCACCGAAGGAAGCACCGGCUAACUCCGUGCCAGCAGCCGCGGUAA
This 494-nucleotide ribosomal RNA is filed under the name uncultured bacterium. Its description in RNAcentral is "partial 16S ribosomal RNA". It matches the Rfam family "Bacterial small subunit ribosomal RNA", at positions 28 to 523 of the family's 1533-position model. The record is from RNAcentral.